GGAUUUACUGGGUGUAAAGGGAGCGUAGACGGAGUGGCAAGUCUGAUGUGAAAACCCGGGGCUCAACCCCGGGACUGCAUUGGAAACUGUCAAUCUAGAGUACCGGAGAGGUAAGCGGAAUUCCUAGUGUAGCGGUGAAAUGCGUAGAUAUUAGGAGGAACACCAGUGGCGAAGGCGGCUUACUGGACGGUAACUGACGUUGAGGCUCGAAAGCGUGGGGAGCAAACAGGAUUAGAUACCCUGGUAGUCCACGCCGUAAACGAUGACUACUAGGUGUCGGGCAGCAAAGCUGUUCGGUGCCGCAGCAAACGCAAUAAGUAGUCCACCUGGGGAGUACGUUCGCAAGAAUGAAACUCAAAGGAAUUGACGG
Molecule: ribosomal RNA, 370 nt
Filed under: uncultured bacterium
Lineage: Bacteria
Description: bacterial SSU rRNA
Rfam family: Bacterial small subunit ribosomal RNA
Source: RNAcentral